UACGGAGGGUGCGAGCGUUAAUCGGAAUUACUGGGCGUAAAGCGUGCGUAGGCGGUGUAGUCAGUCGGCCGUGAAAGCCCCGGGCUCAACCUGGGAACGGCGGUCGAGACGGCUAGACUCGAGUGGGCUAGAGGAUCGUGGAAUUCCCGGUGUAGCGGUGAAAUGCGUAGAGAUCGGGAGGAACACCGAUGGCGAAGGCAGCGGUCUGGGGCCACACUGACGCUGAGGCACGACGGCGUGGGGAGCAAACAGGAUUAGAAACCCGUGUAGUCC
RNAcentral lists this ribosomal RNA (273 nucleotides) under uncultured prokaryote. RNAcentral's name for it is "partial 16S ribosomal RNA". It matches the Rfam family "Bacterial small subunit ribosomal RNA", at positions 524 to 796 of the family's 1533-position model. The record is from RNAcentral.